AGAGUUUGAUCCUGGCUCAGGACGAACGCUGGCGGCGUGCUUAACACAUGCAAGUCGAACGCUGUCCAUUCGGUGGCAACACUGAUGAAGACGGAGUGGCGAACGGGUGAGUACCACGUGAGCAACCUGCCCCGAAGACCGGGAUAACACUCGGAAACGAGUGCUAAUACCGGAUACCCCCACUGGAUCGCAUGAUCCGGUGAGGAAAUGGAUUCCGCUUCGGGAGGGGCUCGCGGCCUAUCAGCUAGUUGGUGAGGUAACGGCUCACCAAGGCUUCGACGGGUAGCUGGUCUGAGAGGACGAUCAGCCACACUGGGACUGAGACACGGCCCAGACUCCUACGGGAGGCAGCAGUGGGGAAUCUUGCGCAAUGGGCGAAAGCCUGACGCAGCAACGCCGCGUGAGGGACGAAGGCUUUCUGAGUUGUAAACCUCUUUCAGCAGGGACGAUGAUGACGGUACCUGCAGAAGAAGCACCGGCCAACUACGUGCCAGCAGCCGCGGUGAUACGUAGGGUGCAAGCGUUGUCCGGAUUUAUUGGGCGUAAAGAGCUCGUAGGCGGUUCGAUCAGUCGGAUGUGAAACCCCCAGGCUCAACCUGGGGCCGCCAUUCGAUACUGUCGUGACUAGAGUCCGGUAGGGGACCAUGGAAUUCCUGGUGUAGCGGUGAAAUGCGCAGAUAUCAGGAGGAACACCAGCAGCGAAGGCGGUGGUCUGGGCCGGUACUGACGCUGAGGAGCGAAAGCGUGGGGAGCGAACAGGAUUAGAUACCCUGGUAGUCCACGCCGUAAACGUUGGGCACUAGGUGUGGGGCCUAUUCAACGGGUUCCGUGCCGCAGCUAACGCAUUAAGUGCCCGCCUGGGGAGUACGCCGCA
Molecule: ribosomal RNA, 874 nt
Filed under: uncultured bacterium
Lineage: Bacteria
Description: bacterial SSU rRNA
Rfam family: Bacterial small subunit ribosomal RNA
Source: RNAcentral